UAAUCAUGUUUAUUUUUAUAACAGUAUUUUGUGAUACCAUAAACUUCUGGAAAGAUACUGAAACAGGAACAACCAAGCCGACACCUACAUUAGUAUCAUCAAUAAUUUCUCUCUAAGGCAUGGGUUAGCAUGACUGCUAAAAUACGCCGAUAGCCAUGGGGAGAGCUCGAGGAUGACCGCAAAAGGAUCUACCGGCAAUGACAAGAGUUGAGAAAUGUACACCUCCAGAGCAAAUAAUCUUUGAAUAAGGAAAGGCUCCGAUAACUAUGGAAAGUGGAUCUUCAAUUGCUGGAUCGACUACUAUUUCAUUGAAUUUGGGGAUUUCAGGAGUGGAAAAAUUGACAGCAAACUACCUAGCACAAGUGGUAAGAAUAGUAAUAAGAAAAAUUCAAGGCAGGACAAAAGUGUACCAGUCAAGCGGAAGCUUGAUUUACAACAACCUCAGGAGAAGAAACAAUAGUCGAAUCUAUUCAAACAAUCUAAGCUAAUAGGGCGAGGCAUGAGCCUAGAGUAUGUUGCUUCAGUUGUGAAAGAUGGGUCCAAAUUGGUUCAAUUACAAGCAAGUGAUGUGGAUAUGGACACUGAAAAAUGGAAAAAAGCUCUUACACUCUAUGUUGUUGGUGCUUCUCUAAUGAUUGGGUCCUUAGAGAGGUUUAUAGCAGAGCAAUGGAACUUUGCAGCCAAGCCAAAGAUAUACUAUCAUAAUGAGGGUUAUUUUGUUGUGUUGUUCACUUUGUUGGAAAAUUGAGAUGCAAUUCUAUCAUCAGGACCUUAUAUGCUUAACAAUAAACCAAUAAUCUUAAAGGUAUGGUCAGAGAAGUUUGAUUUUAGUGCUAAGGUUUUAACUACGCUCCCUAUAUGGGUUAAGUUCUCCAAUUUACCACUGAAUUAUUAAAGUCAAGGAGUCUUCAGUAGGAUUAGUAGUGCAAUAGGUAAUCCUUUGUUUGCUGACGAUUGUACAAUAGGAGUGGAAAGGAUUUUCUAUGCGCGUGUGCUUAUAGAGAUGAAUGUCACCAAGGUACUUCCAAAGGUGCUAUCCGUGCCGGACCCGAGUGGUAGAAUUUUUUGGCAAAAACUGGAGUAUGACUGGGUGCCAGUAUAUUGAAAUACAUGCCUAAUGGUAGGCCAUAAAUAUAGCUUGUGGAGAAGAAGGCUCCUCCUGAACAUAGGAAGCCUAAGCCUGUACAAACAUGGGUACAAAAGCCUAAUCCUGAAGCUCCACCAGAUAUGUAAGUAGUCGUUGGGCCAAGUGAGGCAUUCCCACCUUUGAAUCAUACAUGGAAAGAAGCAAAAAACAUAUCAACUACUAAGAAUAAGCAAAAAGAUCAGGUAGAUAUUACACCUCUGACUAAUGGUUUUACUAUGCUGAAAGGUUAUAUUAUAUAGGAUGCAGGUAUUAUGAGUAGACAGGAUGUAGGUCAAUGUAGUAAAUGGGAUGAAGGAGGAGAUCAGAAGAAAAUAUCUAAAUGUGCAUGAUGAUAGUAGCAUGGAAUAUAAGGGGUAUCAAUAAGUUAUUUAAGCAGAAAGAGGCUAGUUUUUUCUCAAAUAAAUAUAGAGUUAGUCUGAUAGCUAUGGUCGAACAUAAGGUGCAACAACAAUAUGCUUCAAAUAUCAUUUAAAAAAUCACAAAAAAUAGAACUAGUGUGAUAUGGAUCCUAUAGAAUACUGAUAGAAUUGACUUUGAGCUUGUCAAAAUGAAUGAACAAUAUAUACAUGGCAAAGUAGAGAUCAAUAAUGAGAGUUUUAUGUUUAUUGCCAUAAAUGGGUUGUAUUCAAUUGUUGAUAGAAGUAAACUAUGGCCUUCUCUUGGCACCAUUGCUGCUGGUAUACACUGACCUUGGAUUCUAAUAGGUGACUAUCACACAAUAGUGGAACAUGAUGACAGGAUUCAAGGAAGUCCAGUACUCGAUAGUGAAACUAAAGAUUUUGCACGAUUCCUGGAAGAUCAUAAACUUAUAGAGCUAAGAUCAGUGGGAAGGAAGUAUACAUGGAGUAAUGGGCAUGUUUAUAGCAAGAUAGAUAGACCUGUAGUUAAUGUUAAAUGGGUGCAAAGGUUUCCCCAUAUUGAAGUUAUUAUGAUGAACCCCGGAUGCUCAGACCAUACUCCAAUUGGUAUUGAUGUUGACAGCAAUAAACCACCUGGAAAAUUGGCUUUCAAAAUUUUUAAUGUACUAGCUAAGCACCUCAGCUUUCCUGUAAUUAUACGACAAGCUUGGCUGAAGCUGGUUACUAGAGUUACUAUAAAGAAGGUGUGGGAGAAAGUUGAGAUAGUAAAAUAAGGUUUAAAGAAUUCAAACAAUAGAGAAUUCACUAGCACUGCUAGUAAAAAUCAAGAAGCUAGAGCAAAGUUGGAGAAACUACAAGUAGAUAUGAGAUCCAACACAUCAGCUGAACUAUUUGGAGAAAAAAAGUAGAUUAAACUAAAGCUUGAAUAGUGGUGUCUUAUAGAGGAGAAUACUCUGCAACAAAAAUCUAGGAUGACAUGGCUUAGAUUAGGAGAUGCAAACACAAAAUAUUUCUUUGCAGGUGUAAAGGGUAGACAAGCUCAAAAUAAGAUCAAGAACCUAGUAUCCAUAAUAGGCAACAUACUGAAUUCCCAAGAUGGUAUAUGGAAAGAGUUAUUGAUUUUUAUUCUGCUCUUCUAGGUACUGCAGCCAACAUUGUACCUACUUUUGAUCCUACAGUAAUGAGAAAUGGAAAUAUGCUUAACAGGGCUCAACAACUAGAGUUAAUCAAACCAGUCACUAGACAGGAAGUGUUAGAAGCCCUCAGUGUUAUAGAUGGAAAUAAAGCACUAGGCUGUGAUGGUAUGAAUGCAUGUUUUUUCAAAAAUCUUGGCCUGUGCUAGGUACUGAAGUUACUGAUGUUGUGCUUGAAUUUUUUACCAAUGGGACAAUGUUUAGACUAGUGAACUAUACCAGUGUGACCUUGAUCCCAAAGGUUAAAAAUCCUAAGACAAUUAAAGAGUUUAGGCCAAUCUCCUAUUGUACUACCUUGUAUCAUAUUAUCACAAAAGUAAUCACUUCUAGGAUGAAACAGUUAAUGGAUACUUUGAUUGAUACUUGUCAGGUAGCUUUUGUACUAGGUAGAGUAAUAACAGAUAUGAGAUGGUAAAAGGAUAUGGUAGGAAAGGUAUUUCUCCAAGGUGCAUGUUAAAUAUAGAUAUUCAAAAGGCAUAUGACUCUGUGGAGUGGCCAUUUAUAGAACCAAUGCUGAGAGGUCUGAAUUUUCCUGAAAGAUUUGUGCACUGGAUUAUGAAAUACAUAAGUACUAUCUCAUACUCUAUGAUGAUCAAUGGAGGCCCAUCUACUCCAUUUCUUGCUAAAAGAGGGUUGAGUCAAUAUCUUUGUUAUUGUAAUGGAAUACCUCAUAAGGUUGUUGAAGGGUCUGAGAAUACAAAAGAAGUUUAAAUUCCAUCCUAAGUAUGCAAAAGUGAAUCUGAUUUAUCUGGGAUUUGCAGAUGAUUUUUGUUUUGAAAAGAUAUUUAAUUGUUACUCAAUAUUUUCUAUGGCUUCAGGAUUGCAAGCAAAUGCCAAUAAAAGUUCUGUUUAUUUUGGAGGGGUGCCAGGUAAUAUACAAUAUCAGAUUCUGGAAGUGUUAGGUUUCACCAUUAGUACUAUGCCUUUUAGAUAUCUUGGAGUUCCUUUGAGUACAAAAAGGAUCUCCAUCACUCAGUGUUAGCCACUGAUUGAGAAGAUUAUGAACCGGAUUACAUCCUAGACCACUAAGUAAUUGUCAUAUGCUGAUAGACUUCAGUUGAUCAAGAGUGUCUUAUUUUCAAUACAAACCUACUGGUCACAAGUUUUUGUGCUUCAUAAAUGUGUUAUUCGGGGUAUGGAAAGCUUGUGCAAAAGAUUUCUAUGGACAUGAACAAAAGAGAUCUCAAAAAAAGCACUUAUAACAUGGGAAAAUUUAUGCAAACUCAAGACAUAUGGAGGUGUGAACAUCAUUGACCUGACUACUUGGAACAAGGACGCUAUACCUAAAAUACUAUAGAACCUAUGCCGGAAAAAAUAUAAGAUAUGGGUGCAUUGGGUGCAUACUUAUUACAUAAAAAAUGAGAUAAUCGGAGAGGUGAUACCUAGACAGGCUUCCUGGAUACUGUAAAAGAUUUUAAAGGCUCACAAAUAUUGGCUAGCAGUUGGGUAUACAAUGGUAGAUUUUGAAGAUAUGCACCAGUUUCAUAUAUGCCAAAUGUAUAAACGACUGAUGGGGUGCUUCCAAAAAGUGGAGUGGAGAAGAUUAGUUUGUUACAGCUAUGGAGUUCCUAAGUGGAUUUUCAUUUUAAGAUUGGCCAUUAUGAACAGAUUGUACACUAAAGAUAGAUUAGCUAAGGAAGAUGCAGGUGGAAACCCAAUGGGUACUAUGCAGGAAAGAAGAUGAGAUAGUUGAACACUUAUUUUUCUAGUGUGAUUAUGCUGCUGCAAUAUGAAAUGCAUUGUUGCGAUGGAUAAAUAUGCAAAGAACUGCAAUUACAUGGAGCAGUGAAAUAACCUAGAGUGUAACAAAUAUCAAAGGGAAAUCAACCACUGCUCAUGUGUUCAUGAUGAUGUUGGUUGCUUACAUUUACUACAUCUGGCAUGAGAGGAACAACAGAAUAUUUAGGGAAAUAGAUGUACAGCCUGAUAGCACAGUGCAAAAAGUAAUAUAGAAAGUGAUACUUCUCGUUAGUUCAAAGCUGAAGUUAGCUAGUGUGGUGCCUACUCUGAACUAUUAACCAUAAAUGUGAUAGAUUCGUAGUGAAGGGAUAGUGUUGCACCCAGUCUGUGUUACCAGGCUGGAGGAUUGCUCUAUAAUGUCCACUUUUGGUAAUAAAAUAAAAUUAUUAACCAAAAAAAUAAUUUCAAGAUCAAUAUUAUAUGCCACAGUUUCUCAGAUUGUUGAAAAACAAUGGUAAAACGUCAAUAAAAAUGUUAUCAAUUUGUUAGCAAAAACAUAAUAAUGAUAAUAAUAAUAAUAAUAUCAAUAUAAUAAUAAUAUCAAUAUAAUAACAUAAUAAUGUAUGAUAAUAUUACUACUACAAUAGUAAUAGUAUAAUCAAUAUAAUAAUCCUGAUAUAUUAUAACAGUAAUAUAAUUACUUAUUAGCAAGUUAAUGAUACUGACUAUUAAAUAAAGAUUAUUAAGAGAUUUUUGCAGUGAUAUAUUAAUUAUAUUUGAGUCGUACCAAGCAUUGUCCUAAGAAACUAUUUUAGCAGUGUGAAAUAUUUUUUCAAGAUUAAACAAGUACUUCUCUGAUUAAUUAGAGAGCAUAUAGGAUUAAAUAAGUUUUUCCUAAUUAAUCAGAGGAUACAAAAAUCAGCAAAAUUAUCAAUACAAAUAUCAACAAGUUAAACUAGAGAUUUACUAAAAUAAUAACCAGAACUAUUAAGUAAAUGAUAUAAAAAGAAAGAGGAAAAAGUUGGAAAAGGAAGAGACAGUAACAAGAAUGUGGGGAUGAUUUUUCAAGGCUAAAUGAUGUCUAUUUAUAAUGGUUCAAUAGACUUAGAUGUUGGUCCAAACACUUGUUCAAAUAUUUUCAUGCAAAAUGAUACUUGUCCUUCAAGUCUAACAAGUGUCAAUGUUUUAAGAAAACAAUGACAUGCAUAUUAUCAACACUAUUUGUUAGUUAGCCACUUCCUCAAGUAAGUAUGUUGUCUUUUAAAAUACAUUUUAGUAUAAAUUAUUUAUAAAAUAAAUAUUUUUCAUACAAAAAGUAGAUAUAAACUUUUAAAAGGUUUUUGACUAAGUUUAAUUUUUUCCUGUAAGAAUGAUCACUCUUUCUCCCUUUUUAUUCAAUUUUUUUUUCUAAAUCAUUUUUUUUUCUUGUAUAAAUUCCGUGCAUUUUUUCAUAGAGAAAAGUAAAUAUAAAUUUUUAAAACCUUUCCGACAAAGUCUCAUUUUUUUUUAAUAAGAAUGACUAUUCUCUCUUUCUGUCGUCCUCUCUUUCUAUUCAAUUCUUUUUCUAAAUUAUAUUUUUUUCUUGUUUGAAUUCCUUGCAUUUGUUCAUAGGAAAAAGUAGAUAUAAAUUUUUAAAAGAAAUUUGGUAAAGUGCUAUUUUUGAGGGUAAAAAUGAAACACCUUGACUUUGAAUCCUUAGAAAAUAUUCCCUAAGAUUGAGUUUCUGGACAAGGUAUGAUUUAAACAUACUACUCAUAUGCUAGGUACGACUAGUACCCACUCUCUCGUAUGAUGAUCAGUUUAGGUUGAUAGCAUUAUAGUCUAAGGUACGAUUUAGCAUCAUACCAAUCAUAUGAUGGUGUACGAGUCGUAAGUGGGUGAGUUGUUUAAUGUCUUGAGCCUUGUCCAUAGUGUUCUGCCUAGGGUACAGAGUGUAGGGUACUACUCGUACCUUAGGGUAUGAAUUGAGUAUGAGGGGUCAUAUGUUAGUCAGUAUGGGGUCCAAAGAGUGGUCUAGGGUACAAGUUAGUGUAUCACUCAUACCCUAGGGUAUGGGACAAGGGGGUGAGUCGUACCCUCCUGGGUGUAAUUUUCAGCUUUUAAGCUGAGGAUAUUUUAGACAUUUCUCACCCCUAAAACUUUAUGAACCACAACUUAUAACAUUGUUUGGAUUUUGAUUAUUUACUUAUACAAGAUCAAAACAUUCCGAAACACUCUUCAAAACUUCUCUCUCAAGAUUAGGAACUAGGGUUUCAAGAGUGCUCAUCUAAAGGCUAAAGGGGGUCAAGUUCCUUCCAUGAAUCAUCUUAUAUAAGGCAUGUGACUCUUCUCUCAUUGUUAUUUAUCAAAUAUUAUGUGUUUUAAAUAUUGAUUAUGGAUUGUAAAUGGUCGUUUUAAAAUCGAAUGUUGAGGAUUUUGAUGCAUAAUGAUGAGUAUUAUUUACUCUUGUUUAAACUUGUGUUUAUACAUAUUUUUACUGAUGGUUUGCACAUGUGGGUGCUUGUUGAUUGUGGUUUAACAAAUGGGUCAUGAUUAACACUAAGGUUGAUGAUUUUUACUUUGAUUUUAGUCUUGAAAAAGGUAUGCCCUCAAGUUGUUUGUGAAAAUGUCUAAAAUAAAUAACUAGUUACAUGUAAAUUGUGUUUUGAACUAAGGCAAUGGCUUAAUGAGUAAGAAUAUUUGGUAAAUGAUCUUGUAAAGGCCUUGUUGGACAUGUAAUGAAUUAAAUGGUAAUCCUGGUGAUAUGAUUGGUUAAAAAGAGUUUGAGUCCCUAAACAUGAAAUGGAAUUGUGUUUAAACUAAAGUUUAGUGUAAGAAUCCUGAUGAAGAAUGAAUGGUUUGGUAAAAAGGUCUUGAUGACCAUAAUUUGACUUGAAUGGUAUCUGAAACUAAGGCAUUGGCUUAUUAAAGUGAUUGAUUGAUAAAUAGUUCAUGAAGACCUUGUGGUCAUGUAUGGUGUUGAAUUGUAGCCUUGAUGGCUUGAAUUGGUUGAGUGGGUUAGAAUCCCCAAAUGUGAACUGAGUGGAUGAGCAUGCAUGGACAAAGGAUUAGAGUCCAAAUUUCAACUAGUAAUGGACAUGACGGCAUGUGGUUAGGGUCCACUUGCUUAACAAGAUGGCUUAUGGUUAGAUUCCACUUGUCUAAUAAUAUGGCUUGUGGUUAGAGUACAUUUGUCCAAUGACAUGGCUUGUGGUUAGAGUCCACUUGUCUAGUGAAAUGGCUUGUGGUUAGAGUCCACUUACUCAAUGAGAUGACUUGAGGUUAGAGUCCUUUUGCUUGAUAUAACCAGGAAGUUCAAACUUCCUAAUUCUACGCAAGUAGAAGGUUAGAGUCCUCCACUUCAUGGUUCAUAAUUGGGUGUUUUGAACUGCUAAGGCCUUGCCUUCUUUUUCAACACUUGAUGUAUCUAUAUAUCUGCAUAUCCAUGUGUAUAAAUGUGUUUUCUUAUGAUGAUUUGACUUGGUAUUGAAUAAUGACAUUAUUUUAUCCUUAUCCUUGAGUUACAUGCUAGCGCUCCAACCAUUAACCGUCUUCGGACGCUGUGUCCCCAUGCGACACAAGGGUCGGAGCUUGUUUUUCUCUUCCUACGUAGUGACCAGGUGUUAAAGCAAUUUGGAUGUUGACAUUGAAGCGGUGACCUUCCAUACUUCGUUCGGACAUUCAGUUUCCCGAUCGGGCCUAGGCAGGACCAGUUAGCCAGCAUCAGCAGCAGUGGAAUUGGCCAUACUUCCUCUCCUUCUGCACAGUGACUAAGUGAUUCGGGGACAACUUUUUAGUCAGACUAAAGUUGUGAGCUUCCAUACUUCAGAAGAUCCCAUUUCAUGCUAUGAAUUUCUUUAUGUCUUUACUAUUCUUUUUUUGUCUUGGUUUUGGAUGUGGUUGGGGAUAUGUUCCGACUGGAUAUUCUUUGAUUUUGAUUAGAGGCUUUGUCAGACUAGUAUGGAUAUGGGUGGUAUUAAUUGGUUGUUUGGUGGGUAGGUGGUUGGUUUUGGUUAUAGACUUAUCAUAAUGUCUUUAAAUUGAUAUUCUCUUAUCUUGUUAGAUUUUCGAAAUUCAUCCAACAUAGAUGUAGGGUGAUCAAUGAUUUGGUAUUGAGGGUGGUCUCCUAUCCUGGUUGAACUUGAGAUCUUCGACAUAGCCAGACCCUGGUCAGGUCGUGUCAAUCAUGCUCCAUAAUUUUCAAAUUAAAGACCUUUUAGUACAUUUGGUACCUUUGGCCCUAGUAAACUUCGUUAAAGGUAAAACUUUUUCACCCUUUUUCAGUAAUUCUAUAACCUGACUAGUAGGGAUAAUAAUUUCACCUAACUCUUGUUUUUCUAUAUCAUCUUCUUUUGGUAAGUCUUCGUCAAAAAUAUGAUAACACCUACUUAGGGUCUCAUGGUCUAAUUGUAUACUGGCAUCAACAUCGAAAUCAUUGAAUUGUAAUGAAGAAAUUUCUUGAACAUUACUAAAUCUAGGAAGUAAUGAACAUUUGUGGAUAAAUGAUAUAAGUAUAAUUUUGUUUCUCCUUUGAUUAUUUCCUCUUGAUUUUCUUUGUAAUUUGAGGGUCAUUAAUAGCAUAUUUCUUGAAUGUAUAAUGAUCUAUUUAUGAAUAUCCCAUGAUUGAUUUUGUGGAUAUUGGAGAUGCCAUUUUUUAGGAAAUAUUUAUUCCUUUAUAUAGGUGUAAUUUAGAAUUUAGGAUAAAUUAGCCAGUUUAGGGUAUUAUAGCCUCCAAAAACUCUAAUAGAAAUUAAAUUCUUCUGGUAGAGUUCACGAAAUUUUAAUGUCUACAAUUGCUUUUGUAAUUGAGAUUCGGACACAUUUGAAAGCAACUUUUGCGUAGCCAAACUCAUGAAUACAAGCAUACAUCAUAAAGGCCAUCAAACAUGCUAAUUGUAUGUGUUACCAUGUUAUGAUAAAAUUACUCUCAAAAAGAAAAGAAAAAAACAUAAAGUCACCAUUGAAGUUGUCCGAAAUUUACAAAAAGACAAUUUAACCUUGCGAGCGACCUAUUAUCCCCCUACACAAUUUCAAAGAGAGGUUAAACACAUAUCAAUCAACAUCUUACGCGUGUUGAAUUUAUUUACUUUUACAUUUUACUCACGUUUUUGUACUUUACUAUUUUUCUUUUUUCGUGUCAUUUUUUUCUCCUCCUUUAUUGCUUCUUAGUCAAAUUUCAACUAGCAAUUUUUAGAACAUUCUACUCCUUCGAUUUCAAUUUUGUUUUACUUUUGUUUUUUCUUGGUAAUUGAUUGAUCUACGUGUUUGUUGAUCGAUUGUGUUGAUUUUAUUUGUGUUUGUUGAUUUUUUUGGAUUUGCGUGUUGAGUCAGAAAAAUAGAGGGAACAUGUUCAAUAUUUAAAAGUAUCACCAAAUUUCACUAGUAUGAGGCCUUUUGGGAGGCGUCCAAAAAUAAAUCCGUGAGGGCUUGGCCCAAAGUGGAUAAUAUCAUACUAGUGUGGAGUUACACGCGGUCCCAACAAGUGGUAUUAGAGCCUAGGUUCGGGUGUGUCAGAGUGGUGGACUAUGGUUGGUGAGAAGUUCUCAGUGUAACGACAAGACUGGAGAUCUGCAGGUGGUGCCUUGUGUCGAAAGUCUUCCUGGCGAGUGGAGUUCAAGCGGCGUGUCCCGUUGGGUGAUAACGGCGGUACAAGAUGUUUGGCAAAUCAUGUGAAGUGACCUAGUAGUUGAGAUCUACGGUUGAUGACUCAUGUUGAAAGUCUUCUUAACAAGUGAUGGUCAAGCGGCGUGUCCCACUGGUUGGUAGUGGAGGUACGGGGAGGUCACAAGACAUGUGCUCUUGGUUUGAGGAGGGAAUUGUUGCGAAGCAAACAAAAUCCCACAUCGAAAAAAUAGAGGGAACAUGUCCAAUAUUUAAAAAUGUCACCCAACUCCACUAUUAUGAGGCCUUUUGGGAGGUGCCCAAAAAUAAAUCCGUGAGGACUUGGCCCAAAGCGGACAAUAUCAUACUAGUGCGGAGUUACACGCGGGUUUUUCCACCUAUCAGGAUAGUCUUUUGGGUUGGGCUCUCCCAUUUGGUUUAUAACAUUGGUUCUCUCGUUGAGAGUCUCACAUGUUGGGUCGUGACUCGGAGUGAUGGCCUACGCGCUAGAAAUGUUGACCUGGACCCAAGAGGGGUGCCAUCCGUGACCAACUGAGCGUAGCCGUGACCAACUAGGAUCGAUCCACAUGUGGAGAGCCGCUUGUUGGGCCGUGACUCGUAGUGGUGACCUGUGUGCCAGUAGUGGUGGCCUGGACCCAAGAGGGGUGCCAAUGGUGACCAACUGGGCAUAGCCGUGACCAAUAAACAUCGAUCCACGCAUGGAGCCAUGACUCGGAGUGGUGUCCUAUGCGCCAGGAGUGGUGGCCUGGACCUAAAAAGGGUACCACCGUAACUAACUAGGCUCAGCCGUGACCAACGAGGUCGUUGGUUCUCAAGCGGAGGCGAUUGUUAUGAAUCAAUUGUCCCACAUUGGAAAAAUAAAGAAAUGCUAGGGAGGGUGUUAUGUAAAGAAUGGAUCUUAGGUCUAACUCAACCUCAAAAACUAGCUCAAGAGAGGAGGAUUGUCCAAGUACAUAUAAGCAAACCACCAGUCCAUUUCCCAAUCAAUGUGGGACUUUUACCCACUCUAACACCCCCCUCACGUCCAGGCCCAACUAGCACUAGCGCGUGGACCGGGAGCCCAAAACGGGGAUGGACCUGACUCUGAUACCAUGUAAAGAAUGGACUUUGGGCCUAACUCAACCUCAAAAGUUAGGUCAAGAGGUGAGAAUUAUCCAAGUCCAUAUAAGCAAACUAUCAGUCCAUUCCCCAACCAAUGUGGGACUUUCUACCCACUCUAAGAUUGUGAAGAUUGAAAUUGGACAAGCUUAAUUUAUUUUGGAGAAGGUGAUUAUUAGUGUUUGGUUAUGGCUACUAUGGUGCGGUUUAGACUGUAGGGAAGAAUUUGAAAAAACAAAAUCGCCAUAAUAGUGAGAUCGAAACUCAAUUAAAGUAGAGCGUUAUAGUUCUUCUUAAAGACGAUAUCUAACAACUACAAAAAGUAAAAGUUAGUCAGAAUAGACACAUUAAUCAAAUAUCAAGAAAUAGAUUUAAGAACAAAGCUUCAAAAGUAAUGUAGAAAGAAAAUAAGAGGAAAAAGAAAAGCAAAAAUGUAGCAGGAAAAAGAAAAAGAAGGA
Molecule: long non-coding RNA, 11536 nt
Organism: Capsicum annuum
Lineage: Eukaryota; Viridiplantae; Streptophyta; Magnoliopsida; Solanales; Solanaceae
Exons: 3
Source: RefSeq, a predicted model, not a curated record